AGUGAACGCUGGCGGCAGGCCUAACACAUGCAAGUCGAGCGGCAGCGCGGGGGCAACCCUGGCGGCGAGCGGCGGACGGGUGAGGAAUUCGUCGGAAUCUGCCUUUUUGUGGGGGAUAACGUAGGGAAACUUACGCUAAUACCGCAUACGUCCUACGGGAGAAAGUGGGGGACCGCAAGGCCUCACGCAGAAAGAUGAGCCGACGACCGAUUAGCUAGUUGGUGGGGUAAAGGCCCACCAAGGCGACGAUCGGUAGCUGGUCUGAGAGGAUGAUCAGCCACACUGGGACUGAGACACGGCCCAGACUCCUACGGGAGGCAGCAGUGGGGAAUAUUGGGCAAUGGGCGCAAGCCUGAUCCAGCCAUGCCGCGUGUGUGAAGAAGGCCUUCGGGUUGUAAAGCACUUUUGUCCGGAAAGAAAUCCCUGGAGCUAAUACCUUCGGGGGAUGACGGUACCGGAAGAAUAAGCACCGGCUAACUUCGUG
This 484-nucleotide ribosomal RNA is filed under the name uncultured bacterium. Its description in RNAcentral is "partial 16S ribosomal RNA". It matches the Rfam family "Bacterial small subunit ribosomal RNA", at positions 29 to 507 of the family's 1533-position model. The record is from RNAcentral.